AACGCUGGCGGCGUGCUUAACACAUGCAAGUCGAGCGGUAAGGCCCUUCGGGGGUACACGAGCGGCGAACGGGUGAGUAACACGUGAGCAAUCUGCCCUUCACUUUGGGAUAACUCUGGGAAACGAGAGCUAAUACCGAAUACGACCACUUCAGGCAUCUGAUGGUGGUGGAAAGUUCCGGCGGUGAAGGAUGAGCUCGCGGCCUAUCAGCUAGUUGGUGGAGUAACGGCCCACCAAGGCUUCGACGGGUAGCCGGCCUGAGAGGGUGACCGGCCACACUGGGACUGAGACACGGCCCAGACUCCUACGGGAGGCAGCAGUGGGGAAUAUUGGACAAUGGGCGAAAGCCUGAUCCAGCAACGCCGCGUGAGGGAUGACGGCCUUCGGGUUGUAAACCUCUUUCAGUAGGGACGAAGCGCAAGUGACGGUACCUACAGAAGAAGCACCGGCCAACUACGUG
This 460-nucleotide ribosomal RNA is filed under the name uncultured bacterium. RNAcentral's name for it is "bacterial SSU rRNA". It matches the Rfam family "Bacterial small subunit ribosomal RNA", at positions 32 to 507 of the family's 1533-position model. The record is from RNAcentral.